UUCUGGUUGAUCCUGCCGGACCUGACUGCUAUCGGAUUGAUACUAAGCCAUGCGAGUCAUUGUAGCAAUACAAGGCAUACGGCUCAGUAACGCGUAGUCAACCUAACCUAUGGACGGGAAUAACCUCGGGAAACUGAGAAUAAUGCCCGAUAGAACAUUAUGCCUGGAAUGGUUUAUGUUCCAAAUGAUUUAUCGCCGUAGGAUGGGACUGCGGCCUAUCAGUUUGUUGGUGAGGUAAUGGCCCACCAAGACUAUUACAGGUACGGGCUCUGAGAGGAGUAGCCCGGAGAUGGGUACUGAGACACGGACCCAGGCCCUAUGGGGCGCAGCAGGCGAGAAAACUUUGCAAUGUGCGAAAGCACGACAAGGUUAAUCCGAGUGGUUUCUGCUAAAGAAACCUUUUGUCAGUCCUAGAAACACUGAUGAAUAAGGGGUGGGCAAGUUCUGGUGUCAGCCGCCGCGGUAAAACCAGCACCUCAAGUGGUCAGGAUGAUUAUUGGGCCUAAAGCAUCCGUAGCCGGCUCUGUAAGUUUUCGGUUAAAUCUGUACGCUCAACGUACAGGCUGCCGGGAAUACUGCAGAGCUAGGGAGUGGGAGAGGUAGACGGUACUCGGUAGGAAGGGGUAAAAUCCUUUGAUCUAUUGAUGACCACCUGUGGCGAAGGCGGUCUACCAGAACACGUCCGACGGUGAGGGAUGAAAGCUGGGGGAGCAAACCGGAUUAGAUACCCGGGUAGUCCCAGCUGUAAACUAUGCAAACUCAGUGAUGCAUUGGCUUGUGGCCAAUGCAGUGCUGCAGGGAAGCCGUUAAGUUUGCCGCCUGGGAAGUACGUACGCAAGUAUGAAACUUAAAGGAAUUGGCGGGGGAGCACCACAAGGGGUGAAGCCUGCGGUUCAAUUGGACUCAACGCCGGAA
RNAcentral lists this ribosomal RNA (915 nucleotides) under uncultured marine crenarchaeote. RNAcentral's name for it is "bacterial SSU rRNA". It matches the Rfam family "Archaeal small subunit ribosomal RNA", at positions 1 to 923 of the family's 1478-position model. Lineage: Archaea; Thermoproteati; Thermoproteota. The record is from RNAcentral.